Folsomia candida is the source of this 801-nucleotide long non-coding RNA. RefSeq lists it as uncharacterized. NCBI's taxonomy places the organism in Eukaryota, Metazoa, Arthropoda, Collembola, Entomobryomorpha, Isotomidae. The record is from RefSeq and is a predicted model, not a curated record. The transcript is spliced from 3 exons.
ACGAGCCAUUCUGCAUCCCUUCAGCUUAUCAUUCGUGUGAGUCACAACCACCAUUUCGCAUGUUUUCGACGAAACAUUUCUCGACUUAUCCAUUACCCGUUGUAAAUUGUAUAAUUUGCAGGAGUUGAGUUUCCAGCGAAGUAUCAACCAAUCUCUCUCCACCUCCUUGCCAGCAGGUUACGAGCCAUUCUGCACCCCUGCAGCUUAUCAUUUUGUGAGCACAGCUCAAUUAUCAACCAAUCUCUCUCCACCGCCUUACCAGCAGGUUACGAGCCAUUCUGCACUUCUUCAGCUUGUCAUUUUGUGAACACAGUCCAAUUAUCAACCAAUCUCUCUCCAUCUCCUUACCAGCAGGUUACGAGCCAUUCUGCACCCCUUCAGCUUAUCGACAAUGGUGUCUUUCAUCAUUUAUGAAGGCUGGAGAGGAGGGCGGCGGGGAGCAAGGCGCCGACCAGGCCAAGGAUCUCGGCAACGGCAAAGGCACCGAGGUGAAGGAGGGAGCCAUCCUGCAAAUGGGCGUGGGUACGGAAGGGGUCGUGGUUUCGGAGGAUUCCGUGGUUUUGGUGCAAGACUAGCUGCUCCACGUAUAACGGACCCUGACGCGGCGCCUAGAGGAGUUGGAGCGAGGUGCUCCUCCAAGGGUUGCUGAAACCUCGCAUCAGCCCCCACCGCUUCCAGAAAUUCAGCAGCAACAACAACAACAACAGGCACUCAGUCCUCCUCUCGAUCUCAGUCAGGAGCAAGAGGACCAGCUCCUUAUGGAUAUGUAGUUGUUUGUUUAUUUUAUGAAAUAAAUACCAC